Molecule: ribosomal RNA, 153 nt
Filed under: Solanum tuberosum (potato)
Lineage: Eukaryota; Viridiplantae; Streptophyta; Magnoliopsida; Solanales; Solanaceae
Description: rRNA 5_8S_rRNA
Rfam family: 5.8S ribosomal RNA
About the family: 5.8S ribosomal RNA (5.8S rRNA) is a component of the large subunit of the eukaryotic ribosome. It is transcribed by RNA polymerase I as part of the 45S precursor that also contains 18S and 28S rRNA.
Source: Rfam by way of RNAcentral
AAAUCUUAGCAACAGAUAUACGACACUUGCAUUAUUGAAGAAAGUAGCGAAAUGGGAACUUGGUGUGAAUUAUAGAAUCCCGUGAACAUGGAGUCUUUGAACCCAAGUUGCGCUCAAAGCCAUUCGGCCAAGGGAGCGUCUAUUUGGGCGUCA